GAUGAACGCUGGCGGCGUGCCUAAUACGUGCAAGUCGAGCGAACGGACGAGACGCUUGCUUCUCUGAUGUUAGCGGCGGACGGGAGAGUAACACGUGUAUAACCUACCUAUAAGACUGGUAUAACUUCGGGAAACCGGAGCUAAUACCGGAUGAUAUUUUGAACCGCAGUGUUCAAAAGUAAAAGACGGUCUUGCUGUCACUUCUAGAUGGUUCCGCGCUGCAUUGGCUAGUUGGUAGGGUAACUGGUUACCAAGGCAACGAUGCAUAGCCGACCUGAGAGGGUGAUCGGCCGCACUGGAAGUGAGCCACGGUCAAGACUCCUGCGGGAGGCAGCAGUAGGGAAUCGUACGCAAUGGGCGAGAGCCUGACGGAGCAACGCCGAGUGAGUGAUGAAGGUCUUCGGAUCGUAAAACUCUGUUAUUAGGGAAGAACCUAUGUGUAAGUAACUGUGCACAUCUUGACGGUACCUAAUCAGAAAGCAACGGCUAACUACGUG
RNAcentral lists this ribosomal RNA (497 nucleotides) under uncultured bacterium. RNAcentral's name for it is "partial 16S ribosomal RNA". It matches the Rfam family "Bacterial small subunit ribosomal RNA", at positions 28 to 507 of the family's 1533-position model. The record is from RNAcentral.